RNAcentral lists this long non-coding RNA (1736 nucleotides) under Glycine max (soybean). Its description in RNAcentral is "long non-coding RNA (GMAX_LNC000003)". Lineage: Eukaryota; Viridiplantae; Streptophyta; Magnoliopsida; Fabales; Fabaceae. The record is from RNAcentral.
CAAUUGAAAACUGAUGCAACGUGCAAAGAUUCAUGGGUUGGAUUCUCGGGUAGGUGGAGUAGCAAAGGCAAGUUCAUCCUUAUCUUGGUCAUGUUCUUUGGGAGGCUCAAGAAAUUCAACAUGAAAGGUGGCAAAGCAUGGAAGCUCUCCUGGCCAGUAUAAGAUUAACAACAUAAACUUCAUUCACAUAGUAAGCAAAUAAAAAAAAAAAAAUAAGAGCAUAUUUAAGCUGCACGCAGCAGUAGUAUAGUGACCACUUACCAAAAAUUUAUUCAGCCACCAAAGCAAAUUAAACUAUAUAUGUAUAUAUCAUACGCUAACGCAGAUGUUUACUCCAUGGAGCUGAUGUGAGCAUGAGUAAUAUAAUAGACAUUAAUUUGGCACUUCCUGUGGCUGUAUGUAUCAAUGACAAAUGUCAGUUUACAAUCUAUAGAUGUGAGCAUAUGAGUAAUAUGUCAUUAAGGCAAAGUGACAAAUAAUGAAAAAAAGUUACCUUGUUGAUUCCUUAGUCCCCAGUCCCCACCCUGUAAUAGUAUUUGUUGAAGAAAUCAUUGUUUGAUCUGAUCACUUAGACCUGGGAGAUUGCUUGAUCGGAACCAAUUAAUUAAGCAAUCCUAUCUGGGUCACACCCAUGGUUUGACAAUCAAAAUAGAGGGACUGUUUAUAUAUAUAUAUAUAUAUAACUGAAUCAGAAGCAACAAAAACGAUCAAAUAAAUGAAAAUCAUAAUAAAAACAUAGGAAAGAGAAAUCUCUUGAUAUAUUUUGAAAAAAUAUAGUACACAUAAAGUCCAAGAGUGGUUAGGCAAAGAAUUAUACUGGAACGGUGACAUAUGUGACUAGCCAUUUUAUCGAGCAUCAGAUUAUACCCUGCCCCAUGGCCCAGCCCAUGUUUUGUCCAUCAUUACCCCAUUUGCCUUGAUGAUUUCAGAUGAUAGAUGAUAAAUAAGAUACAACCUUUGCCAAAAACUAAGUAUAUAUAAAAGGUUAUGGGUGGAAAUUAAUAAAAAGGUAUUGUGCUUGUCAAGUCCCCAUAUAUACCAAAAGCAUCUCCCCCAAGAUUUUUACUUGCAGAAUAUACUUCAACUGCUCCAGUUCUUUGAUCUUCUAUGAGCCCCGAAGUGUGAACCUAAUAAAAUGCAAAAGUAUUAACUAUUACAAACCAAAUGAAUCACUUAAAAAAACUGAAAGAAAUUAGUUUUGCUGUUGAAAAUAAAUUUCCUUCAAUUACCUUUAAUUCACAUAAGGAAUGGCAGAAUCGCUUCAAAAUUUAGUAUCUGGAUAAGAAAUGUGAAUAUAACCAUUUUUUUUUAAAGGAAGUACUCUUCGCUCAAAUGAGACAGUCUGCCCUAAGGCAUAUGAAAACUUAUCCUUUGAAAAUAGUGAAGGAUGCACCAAAUUUUAUUUAGCUGAUCUAAACUGUGAUAAUUAUCUAGAGUCCAGAAGAAUCUUAUAUUUCAAGGAAAACAAAUGACAUGAAAUAUAACAUAAAGUGUUGAAUAAUGACUAGACCUAUAUCAAUUCUAUUUCUCUCACUACUGUUCACACAAAAUAUAUGAAGUGCUGCAGCAUAAUAUGCAACUUACUAUCCCUUACCGUGACUAAAUUUUCGCCCAAUAAAUCGCCAGCCGUGAUAGAUGCGUCAUUACAUAUUUACAAAAACAUUCAUAGAUAAAAAAAAAGCUAUUGUUGGAAGCAAGUGCUAUUUCUGAAUGAGUCCUGGUUUUUUGUCUAUGCA